RNAcentral lists this ribosomal RNA (253 nucleotides) under uncultured bacterium. Its description in RNAcentral is "partial 16S ribosomal RNA". It matches the Rfam family "Bacterial small subunit ribosomal RNA", at positions 524 to 776 of the family's 1533-position model. The record is from RNAcentral.
UACGAAGGGAGCUAGCGUUGUUCGGAAUCACUGGGCGUAAAGCGCACGUAGGCGGAUGUGUCAGUCAGGGGUGAAAUCCCGGAGCUCAACUUCGGAACUGCCCUUGAUACAGCACGUCUUGAGUCCGGAAGAGGUGGGUGGAAUUCCUAGUGUAGAGGUGAAAUUCGUAGAUAUUAGGAAGAACACCGGUGGCGAAGGCGGCCCACUGGCCCGGUACUGACGCUGAGGUGCGAAAGCGUGGGGAGCAAACAGG